This is a non-coding RNA of Biomphalaria pfeifferi, 696 nucleotides long. The record is from the annotation of a GenBank genome assembly. NCBI's taxonomy places the organism in Eukaryota, Metazoa, Mollusca, Gastropoda, Planorbidae.
UGAAAAUUGUAUUGACUUUUAUUCACACAUUGCUUGUUUUAAAAAAAUAAUUUCAAAGUCUACAGUAUACAUAACUAAUAGUAAAGAUAAUAUUUAUCUGCACAUAAACAUAAACUUCAGACAUAAACAAAAAAAUAAUUACAUUGUCAAAAAAGUUUUUUUCUCAUAACAGAAAUAUAUUGCUUACAAAAGUGAGAGGAAAAUAUUGACCUGAUAAUCUUUAUCACAGAAUUUCCUUGACUAAAGACGUCUGUAAAAGAGUGACUACAAUUCAUUACAUUUUCUAAUUAUAUAAAGAAUUUUUUAAGCAAAAUGAAAUGUACCGGUAUCCACGUAUUUUCAUGUGAAUCUUUGUCAUUAACUGUGUAAGUACAAAUAGUUAAUAGUGAACAAAUUGUGAAACAUUUUCAUUAUGAGAAUUUUGGACCAAAUAUAAAGAACAGGUAUCACAUUAUCCUGUGAAAGGUGAAAGCAUGAGGUCAGGUGAGAGAAUUCUUGAUGUUACUCCAGAUUGUAUAGCUAUGAAAACAUGAAGUGAAGAUUCAAAAACAUUCAGCAGUCUUGGAAACUACUAGAAAGCUCUUGGAUGAAUAAAGUUCAGAAAACAAUGCCCCUCCUACAGCAGAGAUAAAAAUGUAAUUCUCCUACAGCAGAGAUAAAAAUGUAAUUAUUCUCCUACAGCAGAGAUAAAAAUGU